CGGUGCGCUGGUGGCGCUGGUCGCACCGGCGGCGCAGGCGGCGCUGUGGACCGCGUCGCUGCUGGGCGAACUGUGGAUCGUGGCCGCGUUCGCCGU
RNAcentral lists this transfer RNA (96 nucleotides) under Pseudoduganella dura. RNAcentral's name for it is "tRNA-Ala". The record is from RNAcentral. Lineage: Bacteria; Pseudomonadati; Pseudomonadota; Betaproteobacteria; Burkholderiales; Oxalobacteraceae.